GCAAACUUGGUCAUUUAGAGGAAGUAAAAGUCGUAACAAGGUUUCCGUAGGUGAACCUGCGGAAGGAUCAUUAUUAUUUGUGUGGGUCUAUUCAGUUUCUAUAGCAGAAUAGACCCGACACAAAUAGAUUAUCGACUUUUACUCCUAUGGCCUAGAAAUAGGAUUAUAGGAGCAAGGAUGAUCGUAUAUAUUUAAAACCCAACUCUUUGAAUCAAAUAUUAUGCAUUUUAAAUAAUAAAAUCACUAUCAACAACGGAUCUCUUGGCUCUCGCAUCGAUGAAGAACGCAGC
RNAcentral lists this unclassified non-coding RNA (290 nucleotides) under uncultured fungus. Its description in RNAcentral is "partial contains small subunit ribosomal RNA, internal transcribed spacer 1, and 5.8S ribosomal RNA". The stretch from base 1 to 73 matches the Rfam family "Eukaryotic small subunit ribosomal RNA", at positions 1759 to 1831 of the family's 1831-position model. The record is from RNAcentral. Lineage: Eukaryota; Fungi.